AAAAAAGGUAAGCUACUAAGAGCGAAUGGUGGAUGCCUUGACUGGUAAAGGCGAUGAAGGACGUACUAGACUGCGAUAAGCUACGGGGAGCUGUCAAGAAGCUUUGAUCCGUAGAUUUCCGAAUGGGGCAACCCAAUGUAUAGAGAUAUACAUUACCUAUAUAGGAGCGAACGAGGGGAAUUGAAACAUCUUAGUACCCUCAGGAAAAGAAAUCAAUAGAGAUUGCGUCAGUAGCGGCGAGCGAAAGCGCAAGAGGGCAAACCCAGUGCUUGCACUGGGGGUUGUAGGACUGCAAUGUGCAAGAGGUGAGUUUAGCAGAACAUUCUGGAAAGUAUAGCCAUAGAGGGUGAUAGUCCCGUAUGCGAAAAACAAACCUUAGCUAGCAGUAUCCUGAGUAGGGCGGGACACGAGAAAUCCUGUCUGAAGCUGGGUCGACCACGAUCCAACCCUAAAUACUAAUACCAGAUCGAUAGUGCACAAGUACCGUGAGGGAAAGGUGAAAAGAACUGAGGUGAUCAGAGUGAAAUAGAACCUGAAACCAUUUGCUUACAAUCAUUCAGAGCCCUAUGUAGCAAUACAGGGUGAUGGACUGCCUUUUGCAUAAUGAGCCUGCGAGUUGUGGUGUCUGGCAAGGUUAAGCAAACGCGAAGCCGUAGCGAAAGCGAGUCUGAAUAGGGCGCUUAGUCAGAUGCUGCAGACCCGAAACGAAGUGAUCUAUCCAUGAGCAAGUUGAAGCUAGUGUAAGAACUAGUGGAGGACUGAACCCAUAGGCGUUGAAAAGCCCCGGGAUGACUUGUGGAUAGGGGUGAAAGGCCAAUCAAACUUCGUGAUAGCUGGUUCUCUCCGAAAUAUAUUUAGGUAUAGCGUUGUGUCGUAAUAUAAGGGGGUAGAGCACUGAAUGGGCUAGGGCAUACACCAAUGUACCAAACCCUAUCAAACUCCGAAUACCUUAUAUGUAAUCACAGCAGUCAGGCGGCGAGUGAUAAAAUCCGUCGUCAAGAGGGAAACAACCCAGACUACCAGCUAAGGUCCCUAAAUCUUACUUAAGUGGAAAACGAUGUGAAGUUACUUAAACAACCAGGAGGUUGGCUUAGAAGCAGCCAUCCUUUAAAGAAAGCGUAAUAGCUCACUGGUCUAGUGAUUUUGCGCGGAAAAUAUAACGGGGCUAAAGUAAGUACCGAAGCUGUAGACUUGCACACAACUUAGAUUAUUUAAGUUUAGAAUAUGAGAAACUAAGUUAUAUGUUUAGUUAUAUUUUUACUGAUUUUUAUAGAGUAAAGAUAGAAAUAAAACUUAGUAAAAUCAGUAAAAAUAUUCUUAGACUAAAGUUAAGUAGUUUAAGUUGUGUGCAAGUGGUAGGAGAGCGUUCUAUUUGCGUCGAAGGUAUACCGGUAAGGAGUGCUGGAGCGAAUAGAAGUGAGCAUGCAGGCAUGAGUAGCGAUAAUUAAUGUGAGAAUCAUUAACGCCGUAAACCCAAGGUUUCCUACGCGAUGCUCGUCAUCGUAGGGUUAGUCGGGUCCUAAGUCGAGUCCGAAAGGGGUAGACGAUGGCAAAUUGGUUAAUAUUCCAAUACCAACAUUAGUGUGCGAUGGAAGGACGCUUAGGGCUAAGGGGGCUAGCGGAUGGAAGUGCU
RNAcentral lists this ribosomal RNA (1633 nucleotides) under Campylobacter coli. RNAcentral's name for it is "partial 23S ribosomal RNA". It matches the Rfam family "Bacterial large subunit ribosomal RNA", at positions 1 to 1508 of the family's 2925-position model. The record is from RNAcentral. Lineage: Bacteria; Pseudomonadati; Campylobacterota; Epsilonproteobacteria; Campylobacterales; Campylobacteraceae.